Molecule: ribosomal RNA, 496 nt
Filed under: uncultured bacterium
Lineage: Bacteria
Description: bacterial SSU rRNA
Rfam family: Bacterial small subunit ribosomal RNA
Source: RNAcentral
GAUAAACGCUGGCGGCGUGCAUAACACAUGCAAGUCGAACGAUGAAGCUUAACUGAUUUCUUCGGAAUGAUUUUAAGUGGAUUAGUGGCGGACGGGUGAGUAACGCGUGAGUAACCUGCCUUGCACAAGGGGAUAGCCGUUGGAAACGACGAAUAAUACCCUAUGAUAUAAACUUUUCGCAUGAAGAGCUUAUCAAAGAUUUAUCGGUGUAAGAUGGACUCGCGUCUGAUUAGCUAGUUGGUGGGGUAACAGCCUACCAAGGCAACGAUCAGUAGCCGGCUUGAGAGAGUGUACGGCCACAUUGGGACUGAGACACGGCCCAGACUCCUACGGGAGGCAGCAGUGGGGAAUUUUGCACAAUGGGGGAAACCCUGAUGCAGCGACGCCGCGUGAUUUAGAAGGCCUUCGGGUUGUAAAAAUCUUUUGUAUGGGAAGAAAAUGACAGUACCAUACGAAUAAGGACCGGCUAAUUACGUGCCAGCCGCCGCCGUAACAC